UUUUAGUGGAUCAUGAGGGAAAA
Molecule: microRNA, 23 nt
Filed under: Monodelphis domestica (gray short-tailed opossum)
Lineage: Eukaryota; Metazoa; Chordata; Mammalia; Didelphimorphia; Didelphidae
Description: mdo-miR-7317-3p
Source: miRBase by way of RNAcentral